UUGGUGAGGUAAAGGCUUACCAAGGCUUCGAUCAGUAGCUGGUCUGAGAGGACGACCAGCCACACUGGGACUGAGACACGGCCCAGACUCCUACGGGAGGCAGCAGUGGGGAAUUUUGGACAAUGGGGGAAACCCUGAUCCAGCCAUGCCGCGUGAGUGAAGAAGGCCUUCGGGUUGUAAAGCUCUUUCAGCCGGAACGAAACGGUCACGGUUAAUAACUGUGAUCACUGACGGUACCGGAAGAAGAAGCACCGGCUAACUACGUGCCAGCAGCCGCGGUAAUACGUAGGGUGCGAGCGUUAAUCGGAAUUACUGGGCGUAAAGCGUGCGCAGGCGGUUUUGUAAGUCAGAUGUGAAAUCCCCGGGCUUAACCUGGGAACUGCGUUUGAAACUACCAAGGCUA
Molecule: ribosomal RNA, 403 nt
Filed under: uncultured Nitrosospira sp.
Lineage: Bacteria; Pseudomonadati; Pseudomonadota; Betaproteobacteria; Nitrosomonadales; Nitrosomonadaceae
Description: bacterial SSU rRNA
Rfam family: Bacterial small subunit ribosomal RNA
Source: RNAcentral